UGAGUACGAGCUGCUACGGCAGCGAAGUGGGUGAUGUCAUGCUUCCAAGAAAAGCCCUAUACCCGUUAAGGCAUGAUGGCCUGUACCCGAAACCGACACAGGUGGGGUGGUAGAGAAUACCGAGGGGCGCGAGGUAACUCUCUCUAAGGAACUCGGCAAAAUGGCCCCGUAACUUCGGGAGAAGGGGUGCCACCGCAAGGUGGUCGCAGUGAAGAGGCCCAGGCGACUGUUUACCAAAAACACAGGUCUCCGCUAAGUCGCAAGACGAUGUAUGGGGGCUGACGCCUGCCCAGUGCCGGAAGGUUAAGGAAGCUGGUCAGCGUAAGCGAAGCUAGCGACUGAAGCCCCGGUGAACGGCGGCCGUAACGAUAACGGUCCUAAGGUAGCGAAAUUCCUUGUCGGGUAAGUUCCGACCCGCACGAAAGGCGUAACGAUCUGGGCGCUGUCUCGGAGAGAGGCUCGGCGAAAUAGAAUUGUCUGUGAAGAUGCGGACUACGUGCACCCGGACAGAAAGACCCUAUGAAGCUUUACUGUAGCUUGGUAUUGUGCUCGGGCUCGGAAUGCGCAGGAUAGGUGGGAGGCUAUGAACCAUUGCUUGCGGGUGAUGGUGAGCCACUGGUGAGAUACCACUCUUUCCGAGCUAGAGUUCUAACAGCCACCCGUUAUCCGGGGGCUGGACAGUAUCAGGUGGGCAGUUUGACUGGGGCGGUCGCCUCCUAAAAGGUAACGGAGGCGCGCAAAGGUUUGCUCAGGCUGGUUGGAAAUCAGCCGACGAGUGUAAAAGCAGAAGCAAGCUUGACUGUGAGACCUACAAGUCGAACAGGGAGGAAACUCGGCUUUAGUGAUCCGACGGUUCUGCGUGGAAGGGCCGUCGCUCAACGGAUAAAAGUUACUCUAAGGAUAACAGGCUGAUCUCCCCCAAGAGUUCACAUCGACGGGGAGGUUUGGCACCUCGAUGUCGGCUCAUCGCAACCUGGGGCUGAAGUCGGUCCCAAGGGUUGGGCUGUUCGCCCAUUAAAGCGGUACGCGAGCUGGGUUCAGAACGUCGUGAGACAGUUCGGUCCAUAUCCGGUGCAUGCGCAGGAAUAUUGAGAGGAUUUCUCCCUAGUACGAGAGGACCGGGAGGAACGCACCUCUGGUGUACCAGUUAUCGUGCCAACGGUAAACGCUGGGUAGCCAUGUGCGGAGAGGAUAACCGCUGAAAGCAUCUAAGUGGGAAGCCCACCUCAAGAUGAGUAUUCCCAUGGGGUAACCCAGUAAGGUCACGGGAAGAACACCCGUUGAUAGGCUCUACGUGGAAGCGCAGUAAUGUGUGAAGCGGAGGAGUACUAAUAGACCGAGGGCUUGAC
This 1349-nucleotide ribosomal RNA is filed under the name metagenome. Its description in RNAcentral is "bacterial LSU rRNA". It matches the Rfam family "Bacterial large subunit ribosomal RNA", at positions 1564 to 2925 of the family's 2925-position model. The record is from RNAcentral.